CAAUAGCGUAUAUUAAAGUUGUUGCAGUUAAAAAGCUCGUAGUUGGACCUUGGACCUGGACAGGCGGUCCGCCUCACGGCGUGUACUGUCUUGCUGGGUCUUUCCUCUUGGUGAUCUGUUGUUUCGGCAGCAGGGAACCAGGACUUUUACUUUGAAAAAAUUAGAGUGUUCAAAGCAGGCUCGACGCCGGAAUAUAUUAGCAUGGAAUAAUAAAAUAGGACGUGCGGUUCUAUUUUGUUGGUUUUUGGAAUCGCCGUAAUGAUUAAUAGGGACAGUCGGGGGCAUUAGUACUCACAUGCUAGAGGUGAAAUUCUUGGAUUUUGUGAAGGCUAACUUCUGCGAAAGCAUUUGCCAAGGAUGUUUUCAUUAA
This 370-nucleotide ribosomal RNA is filed under the name uncultured eukaryote. RNAcentral's name for it is "partial 18S ribosomal RNA". It matches the Rfam family "Eukaryotic small subunit ribosomal RNA", at positions 592 to 976 of the family's 1831-position model. The record is from RNAcentral.